AUUGAACGCUGGCGGCAUGCCUGACACAUGCAAGUCGAACGGCAGCACGGGUGCUUGCACCUGGUGGCGAGUGGCGAACGGGUGAGUAAUACAUCGGAACAUGUCCUGUAGUGGGGGAUAGCCCGGCGAAAGCCGGAUUAAUACCGCAUACGAUCUACGGAUGAAAGCGGGGGACCUUCGGGCCUCGCGCUAUAGGGGUGGCCGAUGGCUGAUUAGCUAGUUGGGGGGGUAAAGGCCGACCAAGGCGACGAUCAGUAGCUGGUCGGAGAGGACGACCAGCCCCACUGGGACUGGGACACGGCCCAGACUCCUACGGGAGGCAGCAGUGGGGAAUUUUGGACAAUGGGCGAAAGCCUGAUCCAGCAAUGCCGCGUGUGUGAAGAAGGCCUUCGGGUUGUACAACACUUUUGUCCGGAAAGAAAUCCUUGGCUCUAAUACAGUCGGGGGAUGACGGUACCGGAAGAAUAAGCACCGGCUAACUACGUG
This 486-nucleotide ribosomal RNA is filed under the name uncultured bacterium. RNAcentral's name for it is "partial 16S ribosomal RNA". It matches the Rfam family "Bacterial small subunit ribosomal RNA", at positions 29 to 507 of the family's 1533-position model. The record is from RNAcentral.